Molecule: ribosomal RNA, 253 nt
Filed under: uncultured bacterium
Lineage: Bacteria
Description: partial 16S ribosomal RNA
Rfam family: Bacterial small subunit ribosomal RNA
Source: RNAcentral
CACGUAGGGCGCAAGCGUUGUCCGGAAUUAUUGGGCGUAAAGAGCUCGUAGGCGGUCUGUUGCGUCCGCCGUGAAAACCCGGGGCUUAACCCCUGGCUUGCAGUGGAUACGGACAGACUAGAGGUAGGUAGGGGAGAAUGGAAUUCCCGGUGUAGCGGUGAAAUGCGCAGAUAUCGGGAGGAACACCGGUGGCGAAGGCGGUUCUCUGGGCCUUACCUGACGCUGAGGAGCGAAAGCGUGGGGAGCGAACAGG